UCGUAGGUGACCUGCGGAAGGAUCAUUAUUGAAAUCGUUCGUCGAAGGCUGUUGCUGGUCCUCGAGAGGGGGCAGAUUUGUGCACGCCUUUUUCGUUCGCUUCUCCCCCACAACACACCCUGUGCAUCUUUUGUAGGUCAAGAGAUUGAACCUAUGCUUUUUAUUUAUUUAUUCACACCUGUCUAUUAUCUGAAUGUCGAUAUAUUUUAAUACAACUUUCAACAACGGAUCUCUUGGCUCUCGCAUCGAUGAAGAACGCAGCGAAAUGCGAUAAGUAAUGUGAAUUGCAGAAUUCAGUGAAUCAUCGAAUCUUUGAACGCACCUUGCGCUCCUUGGAAUUCUGAGGAGCAUGCCUGUUUGAGUGUCGUGAAACCUUCAAAACCUCUGUUUCUCUCUCCCUCUCUUUCGAGCGGAGAGGGAAUGGAGCGCUUGGAUUGUGGGGGGUUUGUGCUGAAAGGGUGAAACUCUGUCAGCUCCUCUAAAAUGCAUUAAGCCUUUUGCCUCACGCAGAUGAAUAAGAGCUUGUUGGUUUGAUAAUCUCUUUGUCUACGCCCACUUGCCAGUCUGCGUGCAGGUACGAUGGCUCUCGCACCCAAAAAAAUGCCCAUCUUUUUUUUGACCUCAAAUCAGGUAGGAUUACCCGCUGAACUUAAGCAUAUCAAUAAGCGGAGGAAAAGAAACUAACAAGGAUUCCCUUAGUAACUGCGAGUGAAGCGGGAAAAGCUCAAAUUUGAAAUCUGACGGUCCUCUUUUGGCCGUCCGAGUUGUAAUCUAGAGAAGUGCCUUCCGCGCUGGACCGUGUACAAGUCU
RNAcentral lists this ribosomal RNA (810 nucleotides) under Humidicutis auratocephala. RNAcentral describes it as "eukaryotic LSU rRNA". The stretch from base 214 to 367 matches the Rfam family "5.8S ribosomal RNA". The record is from RNAcentral. Lineage: Eukaryota; Fungi; Basidiomycota; Agaricomycetes; Agaricales; Hygrophoraceae.